RNAcentral lists this ribosomal RNA (501 nucleotides) under uncultured bacterium. RNAcentral describes it as "partial 16S ribosomal RNA". It matches the Rfam family "Bacterial small subunit ribosomal RNA", at positions 30 to 523 of the family's 1533-position model. The record is from RNAcentral.
AUUGAACGCUGGCGGCAGGCUUAACACAUGCAAGUCGAGCGGAGAGAGGUAGCUUGCUACUGAUCUUAGCGGCGGACGGGUGAGUAAUGCUUAGGAAUCUGCCUAUUAGUGGGGGACAACAUUUCGAAAGGAAUGCUAAUACCGCAUACGUCCUACGGGAGAAAGCAGGGGAUCUUCGGACCUCUCGCUAAUAGAUGAGCCUAAGUCGGAUUAGCCAGUUGGUGGGGUAAAGGCCUACCAAGGCGACGAUCUGUAGCGGGUCUGAGAGGAUGAUCCGCCACACUGGGACUGAGACACGGCCCAGACUCCUACGGGAGGCAGCAGUGGGGAAUAUUGGACAAUGGGCGGAAGCCUGAUCCAGCCAUGCCGCGUGUGUGAAGAAGGCCUUAUGGUUGUAAAGCACUUUAAGCGAGGAGGAGGCUACUUUAGUUAAUACCUAGAGAUAGUGGACGUUACUCGCAGAAUAAGCACCGGCUAACUACGUGCCAGCCGCCGCCGUAA